CUUCAAGAGAUGCCAGGCAUUAAGUGUUCUCACAACUGCCCCCAACAUCCCACUGCUCAAAAACAGUGCUUCAAAAGACUCCUAGAAAACCCUGCAAGACUUUCAAAAUAAAUCUGUUUGUGUUUCUGAGCCUUCUUGGUCACUAGUGGGCUUAGGCUCAGAGUUACAAGGAUAUACUGAAUUACAGGACAUGUGAAACGAUGACAAGGAGAUCCAGCAAAGCCUGAUAAUGAGAGACUGGAAGAGCCAAACUCUGCUCCUGCUGUCUAUUUGAUUUGUUCAACUCACCAUAAAUGCUGUUGCAUACUGCAUGGGUAAAAAGCUACAGGAGAGCUGAGUAAUCAGUGUCUGUAGUUAUCUUCACAUGUCAUCUCAGUGCACUUCAUCAAGUAUCACACAUCCUUUAAGGAGCAUCUCUGGAAUCCCUGAGUGCUCCAAAGAUACAAAAUGUCCCUGGAAAACUCAUGUGAUUUCCACUAAGGAUUUCAGAACCUCCUCUCAGGAUGGAAGAGUAAUGAAUCACAGGAUGUUCUGAGGAGGAAGGGACCCACAAGGAUCUUCAAGCCCAGCUCUAAAGUGAACAGCCCAUAUGAGGAUUAAAUCUACAAACCUUGGUGUUACAAGCAUCUGCUCUGACCAACUGACAAAAUCUCAGGAUCAUUCUCUUGGUAAAUUCUGAAGAUGUGAGUUCUAAAACAGACUGGGUGCACCCAUCAAUCUCAGACAAUAUCUGCCAAUCAAUGAUGUGUUCUCCUCUGUAUAAGUGAAAGGCACAUCAAGAAAGGAGGAUUUGAAAAUAUAAUUAAUUUUUCUAAGGACUGAAUCAAUGAGAAGUGAUAGUAAUAUAUAAAGAAAUAAAAAGCUGUUUCCAGCAGCUGUUCUAAACAGAUAUUCUUCUCCAAAAAACCAUACUAAAAUCACAUAUUUUUAAUAGGUAUUUAGUUUAGGUAUAUUUAUUGAGGUUUUUGCCUUUCAUCUUUUCUUUAUCCUUAGACUCAGGAGGGAAAGUUUGAUAUAAGACCACAUUGCAUGAGUUUUUUUCUGUUUACAGAGUAUUUGCAACUGGAUAUCCUUCAGGGGAGUUUUCUAGGGUGUAAUUUCCAUGAAACUAGGGAGAAAUGGAAUUAUUUCCUGUCUCAAACUAAACUGAAUUUAUCCGUUACAAAAAUCUCGGUUGUUUCUUAGUGCUGCCUCCGGGUGCUGCAGUAUUCUCUCCUACUUGUGAGGGCUCAUUUUCACCCUUGAGAACUUCAGAUAAGUUACCCCAGAGAAGAAUUAGGUUAUAUAGGUUUUAAACAAUGAUUUAGAGCCUAGUACCUAGAAUAAAGGGCAGUAAACCCCUGCAAUAUCAUUUAGUCUGGGCAGCAGUCAGUGCAGUGUUGUGCCUUUUAGAUAUCGUUAAGUGCACAUUAUGUAGUGUCCAUCCCCCAAGAGCCUCCUCCACAGUCCAAGUGCCUGCACUGCCCAGGAGCAUUUCUUGACACUCACUGUACCACUUGUCUCACUUAAUAUCAUCCCAUUACUCUUAGUUACAGCCCCUUGAUUCACUUUUUUUAAAACCUCACAUUUUGGCUGCAUAAACCUGCCAUACAUUUAGAGGCAGAUUCAUGUUGUGUUAAACAACACACAGAAAACACAGCACACACUUUGCAGUGGACAGUGUCCUGACUUCAGCUUGUGAAAAGAAGUAAAGAAUAAACCUUAACAGAUUCUGUUUGGCUACAGGUGGUGUAAUGAACUGAGCCUUGGGUUAAGCUCCUCUGAUCCCAAAACACAUACUUGAAGAAAUCUGAUAAGUUAUGUAAAAGUCCAUGCAAAUACUUAAACCAAGGUGAUAUAGGACAAGGAGGAAGUUCCAGUUUAACUGAAAGAAACCAGUUUUAGAUUGGAUAUUAUGAAGAAAUUCUUUACUGUGAGGGAGGUGAGACACUGGCACAAUUUGUCCAGAGAAGCUGUGGAUGCCCCAUCUCUGGGAUUGUUCAAGGCCAGGCUGGAUGGUGCUGGGAGCAACCUGGUCUAGUGGAAGGUGUCCCUGCAGGGUUGUUGGAACCUGAUGAUGUUAAAGAUUCCUUCCAACCUAAACAUUUCUAUGAUUCUGUAAUACAUAUUUCACUGCAGGUCACUGUGACAAACCAUCCCAAAAAAUGUCAGCUGUCUCAAAGGUUGAAUUCUCUCUAGCACCAAGGAAAGCAGAGCACAGAGAAAAGGUCAACAGCACCUCACCCCUCCCCAUUGUCACUCCUGCAUAGCCUGGAUUAUCACCCCAAUUUCCAUAAUUUGUGUCAUCAUUCUACAAGUUGCUUUGUAUUUUAAUUCCAGCCUGAAACUGUCCACCCAGUUACUUUUCCUCUGAACUCUAAGUAUCCCCUGCCCCACAGGACUUAAGGGACAAUAUGAACAUCUUGCCUGGUCUGCCUUUGGGACAUGCUUCUUUAUAAAGCCCCAGCUGCAGGUUUGAUGAGCACCCAGUGGUGCUUUCCCAUAUAAUAAAUGUAUGUGUAUAGGCAUGAGUUAAGACAUUCUUUAAUCUUAAUUUGAUAUAAUGAUUAGUAAAGAAAGCAAGUUAAGCACCCAUGUUUUAUAUCUUACAGUAGUGAAUAAAGUACUCAGACCUGUAUUCUACUCUUGUUAUCAACAUGGAGAAAAUAAACUGUUUUUUCUGACACUGAGUCAUUUUUUUCCCCCUAGCUGAGCUUUUUUUGUGACUGUUAUCUAUAUCUCCAAGUGUAAGCAUGUGUUAUUGUGGACAGCCAGAACCAAAUGUUUCAGUAUUGCCUCAGUGUGCUUGCCAUCCCUCUCUGACUUCAGCCUAUGUAUAGAUUACAGCAUUUGCUGCCAUAACACAAUUUUAAAAGUAACUUUUUCCUUGAUGAAGGUCAAAAGGACAAAAGGUCAUUCUGCAGCAAUUACUUUUCCUAUCAUUUAAAAAGAAAUAUUCAGGUCAUGCUUAACUUAAAAAUUGCCCCAUCCCACCCCCUCAAUAUUUAAUUUUUUUACUUCCUGCCAAUUGUACUUUGCCAAGGAGUUGCCAACAUAUUUUUAAGAACUGUGUGUUGUGCUGUUCAUCUGACCUGUAGGCAAAAAAGUUCUCAUCAGAUAAAAUAUCCUGCUUUUCUGUAAGAAAACAUUUUCCUUAAUGGGAAAAAAACAGGUGAUGCUGGAGUGAGCAAGUAUUUUCAAUAACAUAUUGGAUUUUUUUGUUCAAUCAAGAAUGUAUCAUUUUGGAAAUUGAAAGUUAUAUCUGUCAGCCUCCUGGCUAGGAAAUGUCAUAUUAAUCCUGACUUCACAUGGACACUCUGACAGUGACUCCACCCUUGAUAAACCAUUUAGUGUCUGUUCAGUCUAGUGAAGAAUCUUCAGACUAUCAUUCCACUGUGAUGUGGCUUUAGCUAAUAAAUCAGUCAGAGAAUCUUUUUCCUCUCUUCCCUCCCUUCACCACAUUAAUAUUGAUUAUUUGGAGGUAAGGAGUCCCAAGGAGUGGAAGUGGAUAUGCCUCAUUGCCUCGAACAAUUCUUUUCCCUCUAUUGGGACAGUACAAUGUAAAUUAAUAGUGUGCUUGCAGACACUAGAUAAUGUUAAUGCACUCGCUAUUGAUAGAGUGAAAUAACAGGAGUAACUUCAGCUUUGCUUAAAACAAAACAUUAAUUUUCCAAGGCCACUAGGAUUUAUGCAGCUGGUCGGUGUAACACAUACAGUCUUUGCUUUUAAAUAUGCAACAUUUGCAUUUUUAAACACGAGGCAGGAUUUUAUUGCCAGAUGAAAGACAAAAGGGGAUUUAAAUUCACUGCUUAUGCUCUAAAGCUCUUGUCUGCCUUUAAUCUAAGUCUCUGCUCGAUUUUGUGGGUAAGAAGAUGCCUUUUCUACAAGGAAAUAAUACAGAGCAGUCUUAUCCCCCUGUGAUCCUCUGGCUACGUAAAAAUGCAUAGGAAAUCUGUAAGUGCAAAAGCUGUACUUCUGUAUAUGUUUCAAAAAAAGUAAAGUCAACUUUCUCAUUUCACUGAGCUUGAGUUUAAUAUUACUCUUAGCAUCUGGUACAGUGCUGUGUUUUGGAUUUAAUAUUAGAAUAACCUUGAUAACAAACUGAUGUUUUGGUUGUUGCUCAGUAGUUCUUUCUCUAAAUCAAGGACUUUGCAGUGUCUCAUGCGCUGCUGGGGAGCAGGUGCACAAGAAUUCCCGAGAGAGCAAGGCCAGGAGAGGUGACCUGAACAGGACAAAGGAAUAUUCCACAGCACAGGAUGGCAUGCCCAGUAUAUAAGCUGGUCAUGAGAGGACAAUUGCUGCUGGUGUACAGGCUGGGCAGUGUUUUCUUCCCAGUCUCACUGUAGGUGGAAGGGAGUGAGGAAGCUGCUUAACAGUAUUCAGUUGCCAUCUGGUGUCAAACCUGACAAACGUGCUAAAACCAAAGGCAUUGAGGAAAGCUCCACUUUCACAUCCAUCCAUUUGGCUGCUCUGGGAAAUGAUGGCAGACAUGUUGGACGAAUUAGUGGGUAUUUUACAACAGCAUGAACCUCUGCUAGCUGGAACCACAGACAGGGUUUGAGACACAAGGCUUUCUUGAUCCUGAGACAGAUUUGAAGUUCCUGCAGUCCACAGCAUGGAUUUCUCCCACAGCCAUCCUGCCUUUGGUGCACGAGGAGCAUCUCCCAUGCUGCGAUGGGAAACACAGUGGAAUGUAGGUGAAUCUAAUGUCAGCUUGGAGAUGGCUGCAGAUCUGCAAUUCAGCCUAACAAGGGUCACAGCAGCCUGAUAGGAGGCAGGGAAAGCAUUCCCAUGUAGGGUUGGCCCCAGGUUGCCAUUUCCCUUCUGGUCCCACCAAUUUGCUGCACAACUCUGUGUGACUCACCUGAAAUUAGAGUUUACCUAUCUCUAACACCAGCAUAAACUAUGGGUAGAAAUUGAAUUCUAGCAAUUUUGGCUCUGCUUUUCUCCUUGCUCUCUGAACCUAAUUUCUACAAAUGUGUUUCUAGUUCAUAAAUACUCAUGGAAUAGCUCAUGUAAACAAAUUUUGUCUGCACAUUAUUCAUGCUCUGUUUGCUUUGAUUGUGCAAGUUCCUCUAUAUGUGAAUGGUCAUAGAAGUCACAUACUGUUACUUCUGGCACCUGACUGGAUGACUGUUUUUUAGAUAGGAUAAUGAACAGCUAGUAAUAAAUGACAAACUAUAUAGAGUGAAUAUUUGGAGGAAUAAUUAUGUGUGCUGGAAAUCACAAAACUUUCAGGAUUUGCCAGUAUUCUCCCUUCCAAACGAACUGGUAUUCAGUUGAAAGCUCAUGAAUGAUAGAUAAUCUCAUCUCACAAAUAAUGACAGUUCAAACCUCAAUUAAACAAGCUUCACAAAACCCCUGGGAGAUAGACAGCUACAACUAAAUAUUUAGUUACAUUACUAAAACUGAUACAUGCAUAUUUUCACUAAGAAGUUUGGCAUUUGAGGAGCAUUUAAAUGCCAUUCAAAGAAAAGCACUAUUGCAAAUGAGUGAAAAAUACCAUUACUGUAUUUGUCAGAUUCCAGCAUGCAAGAAAAUUAGAUGAAGCAUAUUCAAGGUACCAGCUCUGGUGGACUGAUUGAGGAAAACAGAAUCAUUUACUUGUGACAGGUCUGCCCAGAGCCUCUUCUAGCCUCAAUGAAUUCUAGAGUUACUUGACAGUCUGCCAACCCGCAGAGCAAAUGCCAAAAAUUCCUUCUCACCAUGUGCGAAUUAAAUAAUGACUAAAUAUAGACUCAAAGCAGAGGUAACUUGCACACAUCCAGCUUGUCAGGAGAGAGAAAGACCUGGUUCCUGUUUCAGUAGUUACAAAUUUAUAAGUAGACCUUACAGAAUUCAUUAUUUUCUAUUUUUGCUAAGGUACUACCAGUCUUCAGGAUCAUGGAAAUGGUGAAGGCAUCUUGAUAGCUCUCUGAUGGGUGAGUUCAUCCCUGUAUAGUGCUGGUAGUGCAAGUCCUAACCACAGUCACAUUUUUCUGAUUCCACAUGUGCCUCAGAUGCCCACAGGAGGAACCCCAUAGUACAAGUGGGGGAUGCAGAUCAUGGUUUAUGUGAAAGGACUUGUGUUCAAAGGAUAAGGUUUAUAGGAGCUUAGCUUUUAGGAGCUCACUUUUCAUCAUAUUUCACUACUGUAGAGUUUGAAGUGAUGAAGGAUGCAUGACAGAGUAAAUUAAAGCUUCCUGCAAGCCUUCCAGUAGUUCUUACAUUGGAGCACCUUGAAUACCAACCUGCUAUACCCUUCCUGUAUACUUUAUGCAUGGAAGGUAGUGGGGAAUCUCAUUACCCAAGAGUUGCUCAGAGGGAAAAUAUCCUAUAAGGUACCACAUUGCUCCAAGAUGGCUUUGGACAUCGAGUGCACAAAUGCAGGUAUGAACUGCACUUUUGUUAGGGUGCUCAGCAAGGAGAGGAGAACACAAACACAAGUAGGCAGAAGGUAGUGAAAAAUAUUGAACUAAAUCAGUGUUUAUGCUGAUAGGAAUGGGAUCUGGAUCAGGCAUGCUUUCUCUACAGCUUUCCACCUUUUUCAUCCUACUAAACAAAGAUCUGUUCUCUAGGCUGUCACAUCAACAACCUCCCCCAUAAAACCAAAGGAACAGUCUUUGCAGCCUCAUAUUUGUCAAAAAAAAAAAAAAAAAAAAAAAAAAGGAUAUAACCUUUGAAUUAGUAAAAUUACUUGUUAAACAAGAUCAAGAAAAUCCUGCUGGCCUCCCAGAGCUAACAACAGUUCACUUUUGGAUGCACUGCCAACUCUCAUGAACUGGCUCUCCCUUUUCCCUCUUUCCCCAGUAGGUAAGCACACUUAACAGCCUUCAAAGCAGCCAGACUUCUCCUUUCUUUCCUUUUGUAGGUAAUGCUCCCCACUCUCAAAGUAGGAAAAAAGCUGGGGUAAGUUUCUAUUAAGCCAACACAGCCCUUCUUUAAACCUCAAGACAUUGGUUCUCUUACCCUCUUGAACCUUUCAUACUCUGAAGAGCUUGUGUUUUUCACUUUUCUUUUACAGCUGGAGUUUCUGAAAACUUAAGUCUUUUUUUCUGCCUCAUGCCUGGAGACAUUUUUCUUCUCAGAAUGUUUAAAUUCCCUUGUACUGCAAGGUAAAGGAGCCAAUGCAUGUUUGCAACUUAAUCAGGAUAUUGUCAGGUUUCUUCCCCAGUCCAACAUGAACUAGGAGAAAAAGGCUUAGAAAUGACAGAAAAGUCUGUGACAUGUUCCAUGGCAAGAAAGUACCUUAUGCUUCCAGGGCCACACUGGGAGUUAGACCCUGCAGAGGUCUAGUCCUUUUUUUGGCAUUGAUUUCUGGUCUGACCUUUGCCCAGUUGUUAAAUCACUGAUUUUCAAAGGUGCUGAACGACUGCCAGUAGGUCUUUUUGUGACUGAGGUCAGUAAGAGCUUGGCAGCUGGAAGCCAGAAUUUCAUCUACUCACUUCAGUUGCAGCUGUGGGUGUUUCAUAAAAAUCAUAUAUCUGGAGAAGGCAGACUAGAGUAGGGGAAAGGUUAAGUCAAAAACAAGUUGGAAGCCGUUUUAGCUGUGCUUAGUUACUUCAAGAUAUGAUUCUGGUCCAAAUAUUGUCAGACAGAUUAGUGACUAAUCUGAUAAAGAAAUUAAUUAUUUGUCAGUAAAAGCUGUUCUGUGGAGAGAAUGAUUGAUUAAAAAUGCAAUACAGGACAUUAGCACCUGACAUAGCUCUUGCUAACAGAGAUCAGAAUUAUCAGAUGAUGUCACACCACAAAAUAAGGCCAUACAAACAGUGCUAGUGUGUCUUUGGUACCAUGAUAGCACAGUUUUGAUACUUACACACUGUGGGUACAGUAUCAUAUAUUAGGGAAUGGAAUUAAUUUUGAAGUUUGAAAUCCAAAACAAUGUGAAGUACCCGGAGUAUUCUGUGGAAAGCAUCACUGAAAUCUAAUUUAAAAUACCAAUUUAGUCGAAAGUUCAAUUUCACAUUUUUCUUCAGUCAAAUACCGUUCAUCUACGUCUACUUCCCGUUGCAUGUAUGGAGCUGUGAAAUUACCCUCAAGGAAAAACAAUAUAAACCACAGCAGGUUCAAAUCCUGUAACUUAGCAUCUUGUAUUUAGUGCCAGAAGAAUGCUUAAUCCAGCCAUACAAAUAUGUGUCUAUAAUUUAUUUUUUUUUACAUUAAAACGACUGCAUAUCCUGAGACAAAAGGAUAAAAGAAACUGCAUUUCUGGAUGAAGGCUGAAUGGAACUGAGCUGCAAGCAAGGAGAGGGGACCUAAUGAUUAACUUACAUACACCCAACAGUGCUAAUGAAUGGAUAUUACAAAAGGACUGCCCAACACAGCAGCUGGGCUGUUUGCAAUAAACUUGCUGAAGAAUGCACUUCCUUCCUCACUGAAGGUUAGGAGCAUUGGAGUGUCGUGAAUCAAAUCUCCACUGGCAUAUAUUGUCAUAUGUCCAGUGACUUCAGUGUUGCUAAAAUAUUAUGCUAGUAAAGAAUUAGACCCUACCUGCUUGCCUAAUGUUUCAUUUUGGAGAAAUCAGGCAGAGCCUUCACAAACUGCAGAAAUGAGAACACUUCCAGCAUCCACACUUACAUGCAUCUUCUUUGCCUCUCCCCAGUUAUAAAUAGAACUGGUUUUGAAGAGUUCAAACAGUAUGAACAUUUUUCAUUCACAUUGCUUGUCAGUAAAAAAAUAGCCUUUCAUUUCCCACUUCCUCCCCCAAAUAUUCUAGCCCUGUUGAUGUUUUGAUUUGUUUGGGCUUUAUUUCAUCAUGCUCUCUAAAACAAAAAUAAAAGCAACCUGUCUU
Taeniopygia guttata (zebra finch) is the source of this 8749-nucleotide non-coding RNA. The record is from RefSeq and is a predicted model, not a curated record. Lineage: Eukaryota; Metazoa; Chordata; Aves; Passeriformes; Estrildidae.